CUUUUGACCUCGGAUCAGGUAGGGAUACCCGCUGAACUUAAGCAUAUCAAUAAGCGGAGGAAAAGAAACCAACAGGGAUUGCCCUAGUAACGGCGAGUGAAGCGGCAACAGCUCAAAUUUGAAAUCUGGCUCUUUCAGAGUCCGAGUUGUAAUUUGCAGAGGGCGCUUUGGCGUUGGCAGCGGUCCAAGUUCUUUGGAACAGGACGUCACAGAGGGUGAGAAUCCCGUACGUGGUCGCUAGCCUUCGCCGUGUAAAGCCCCUUCGACGAGUCGAGUUGUUUGGGAAUGCAGCUCUAAAUGGGAGGUAAAUUUCUUCUAAAGCUAAAUACUGGCCAGAGACCGAUAGCGCACAAGUAGAGUGAUCGAAAGAUGAAAAGCACUUUGGAAAGAGAGUCAAAUAGCACGUGAAAUUGUUGAAAGGGAAGCGCUUGCAGCCAGACUUGCCUGUAGUUGCUUAUCUGGACUUUUGUCCAGUGCACUCUUCUGCGGGCAGGCCAGCAUCAGUUUGGGCGGUUGGAUAAAGGUCUCUGUCAUGUACCUCUCUUCGGGGAGGCCUUAUAGGGGAGACGACAUGCAACCAGCCUGGACUGAGGUCCGCGCAUCUGCUAGGAUGCUGGCGUAAUGGCUGUAAGCGGCCCGUCUUGAAACACGGACCAAGGAGUCUAACAUCUAUGCGAGUGUUUGGGUGUCAAGCCCAGACGCGUAAUGAAAGUGAACGGAGGUGGGAACCUUAGGGUGCACCAUCGACCGAUCCUGAUGUCUUCGGAUGGAUUUGAGUAAGAGCAUGGCUGUUGGGACCCGAAAGAUGGUGAACUAUGCUUGAAUAGGGUGAAGCCAGAGGAAACUCUGGUGGAGGCUCGCAGCGGUUCUGACGUGCAAAUCGAUCGUCAAAUUUGGGCAUAGGGGCGAAAGACUAAUCGAACUAUCUAGUAGCUGGUUCCUGCCGAAUUUCCCCUCAGGAUAGCAGUAACGUAUUCAGUUUUUAUGAGGUAAA
This 994-nucleotide ribosomal RNA is filed under the name uncultured Ascomycota. Its description in RNAcentral is "eukaryotic LSU rRNA". It matches the Rfam family "Eukaryotic large subunit ribosomal RNA", at positions 1 to 1012 of the family's 3401-position model. The record is from RNAcentral. Lineage: Eukaryota; Fungi; Ascomycota.